UGGCGGCACGCCUAACACAUGCAAGUCGAACGAAGUAGCAAUACUUAGUGGCAGACGGGUGAGUAACAUGUAGGUAUCUGCCCUUUGGCCUGGAAUAACACGAGGAAACUUGUGCUAAUACCGGAUAAGUCUUUACGGAGAAAGCUUUAUGCACCAUUGGAUGAGCCUGCACUUGAUUAGUUUGUUGGUGGGGUAAUGGCCUACCAAGACUGUGAUCAAUAGCUGAUUUGAGAGGAUGAUCAGCCACAUUGGGACUGAGACACGGCCCAAACUCCUACGGGAGGCAGCAGUGGGGAAUCUUGCACAAUGGAGGAAACUCUGAUGCAGCGAUGCCGCGUGAGUGAAGAAGGCCUUUGGGUUGUAAAGCUCUUUCGUCGGGGAAGAAAAUGACUGUACCCGAAUAAGAAGGUCCGGCUAACUUCGUGCCAGCAGCCGCGGUAAUACGAAGGGACCUAGCGUAGUUCGGAAUUACUGGGCUUAAAGAGUUCGUAGGUGGUUGAAAAAGUUGGUGGUGAAAUCCCAGAGCUUAACUCUGGAACUGCCAUCAAAACUUUUCAGCUAGAGUAUGAUAGAGGAAAGCAGAAUUUCUAGUGUAGAGGUGAAAUUCGUAGAUAUUAGAAAGAAUACCAAUUGCGAAGGCAGCUUUCUGGAUCAUUACUGACACUGAGGAACGAAAGCAUGGGUAGCGAAGAGGAUUAGAUACCCUCGUAGUCCAUGCCGUAAACGAUGUGUGUUAGACGUUGGAAAUUUAUUUUCAGUGUCGCAGCGAAAGCGAUAAACACACCGCCUGGG
Molecule: ribosomal RNA, 792 nt
Filed under: uncultured Pelagibacteraceae bacterium
Lineage: Bacteria; Pseudomonadati; Pseudomonadota; Alphaproteobacteria; Candidatus Pelagibacterales; Candidatus Pelagibacteraceae
Description: bacterial SSU rRNA
Rfam family: Bacterial small subunit ribosomal RNA
Source: RNAcentral